AGGCGGAUUGUUAAGUCUGGUGUGAAAGCCCGGGGCUCAACCCCGGAAGUGCAUUGGAUACUGGCAAUCUUGAGUAUGGGAGAGGAAAGUGGAAUUCCGAGUGUAGGAGUGAAAUCCGUAGAUAUUCGGAGGAACACCAGUGGCGAAGGCGGCUUUCUGGACCAAUACUGACGCUGAGAUGCGAAAGCGUGGGGAGCAAACA
RNAcentral lists this ribosomal RNA (202 nucleotides) under uncultured bacterium. RNAcentral's name for it is "partial 16S ribosomal RNA". It matches the Rfam family "Bacterial small subunit ribosomal RNA", at positions 573 to 774 of the family's 1533-position model. The record is from RNAcentral.